This 366-nucleotide ribosomal RNA is filed under the name Altica cyanea. RNAcentral describes it as "partial 16S ribosomal RNA". Lineage: Eukaryota; Metazoa; Arthropoda; Insecta; Coleoptera; Chrysomelidae. The record is from RNAcentral.
UUAAAUGGCCGCAGUAUUUUGACUGUGCUAAGGUAGCAUAAUCAUUAGUUUUUUAAUUGAAAGCUAGAAUGAAGGGUUUGAUGAAAAAAAAACUGUCUUUUGAUAAUUAAAUUAAAAUUUUAUUAUUAAGUUAAAAAGCUUAAAUUUUUUUAAAAGACGAGAAGACCCUAUAGAGUUUGAUUUUUUUUAUUUUAUAUAAUGUUUAGAAUUUAAAAUUAUAUUUUUUAUAAAAAUUUAAUUGGGGUGAUUGAAAAAUUUAAUAAACUUUUUUUAUUUUUAUUUAUAAAUUUAUAUAUUUUUGAUCCAUAUAAAUGAUUAUAAGAUUAAAUUACCUUAGGGAUAACAGCGUAAUUUUAUUGGAGAGUU